AGCGGCGAACGGGUGAGUAACGCGUGAGCAAUCUACCUUAGUUACAGGGAUAGCCCGAGGAAACUCGGAUUAAUACCUGAUAUUCUUUAUUUCUCGCAUGAGAAUAAUAGGAAAGGUCAGCCGAACUAAGAUGAGCUCGCGUUCUAUCAGCUAGUUGGUGAGGUAAAAGCUUACCAAGGCUACGACGGAUAGCUGGUCUGAGAGGACGAUCAGCCACACUGGGACUGAGACACGGCCCAGACUCCUACGGGAGGCUGCAGCAGGGAAUAUUGUGCAAUGAACGCAAGUUUGACACAGCGACACCGCGUGUGGGAUGACGGAUCUAGGUUUGUAAACCACUUUCAGGAGGGAAGAAAAUGACGGUACCUCCACAAGAAGCCCCGGCCAACUACGUGCCAGCAGCCGCGGUAAUACGUAGGGGGCGAGCGUUGUCCGGAUUUAUUGGGCGUAAAGAGCUCGUAGGCGGUUCAACAAGUCGGUCGUGAAAGUUCAGGGCUCAACCCUGAAAUGUCGAUCGAUACUGUUGUGACUAGGAUACGGUAGAGGUGAGUGGAAUUCCGAGUGUAGCGGUGAAAUGCGUAGAUAUUCGGAGGAACACCAACUGCGAAGGCAGCUCACUGGACCGCUAUCGACGCUGAGGAGCGAAAGCUAGGGGAGCAA
Molecule: ribosomal RNA, 660 nt
Filed under: uncultured marine bacterium
Lineage: Bacteria
Description: bacterial SSU rRNA
Rfam family: Bacterial small subunit ribosomal RNA
Source: RNAcentral